CGUAGGGUGCGAGCGUUAAUCGGAAUUACUGGGCGUAAAGCGUGCGCAGGCGGUUUUGUAAGACAGGCGUGAAAUCCCCGGGCUCAACCUGGGAACUGCGCUUGUGACUGCAAGGCUAGAGUACGGCAGAGGGGGGUGGAAUUCCACGUGUAGCAGUGAAAUGCGUAGAGAUGUGGAGGAACACCAAUGGCGAAGGCAGCCCCCUGGGUCGAUACUGACGCUCAUGCACGAAAGCGUGGGUAGCAAACGGGAUUAGAUACCCUGGUAGUCCACGCCCUAAACGAUGUCAACUAGGUGUUGGGUGGGUAAAACCAUUUAGUACCGGAGCUAACGCGUGAAGUUGACCGCCUGGGGAGUACGGCCGCAAGGUUA
This 372-nucleotide ribosomal RNA is filed under the name uncultured organism. RNAcentral's name for it is "bacterial SSU rRNA". It matches the Rfam family "Bacterial small subunit ribosomal RNA", at positions 526 to 896 of the family's 1533-position model. The record is from RNAcentral.